This 316-nucleotide unclassified non-coding RNA is filed under the name Hevea brasiliensis (rubber tree). Lineage: Eukaryota; Viridiplantae; Streptophyta; Magnoliopsida; Malpighiales; Euphorbiaceae. The record is from RNAcentral.
GGUAUUGGAAUGAGUAUGGAGACAAUAGUUGGUAAAAAUUCCAUGGUUGCUACACCAUGAGGAAGAGGCAAGGUGACAAAUUUGUGGGCAAUAAAUUCAAUAUGGGUGAGACUCGUACUUGAGGCAGAAAUUGUUAGGAUAGCAAGUAUGAGUUGUUUGUUGAAUGAGAAUAAAAAGUAUCCCACAUUGGUAAGUGAGGACAUAUGAGUGGGAAUGAUUUGUGAACCUAAUGCUUAAGGUUUUGGAUUUGGUUUCAUUUAAAGUCCGCUUGUGUGGUCUCUAAUGGGCCUUAGGAGGAUUUUCCCUUGAUAUGGAU